GCCUGGGUAGCUCAGUCGGUUAAGCGUCUGACUUCAGCUCAGGUCAUGAUCUCAUGGUUCGUGGGUUCAAGCCCCUCGUUGGGCU
RNAcentral lists this transfer RNA (85 nucleotides) under Felis catus (domestic cat). It matches the Rfam family "tRNA". Rfam says of the family: Transfer RNA (tRNA) molecules are approximately 80 nucleotides in length. Their secondary structure includes four short double-helical elements and three loops (D, anti-codon, and T loops). Further hydrogen bonds mediate the characteristic L-shaped molecular structure. tRNAs have two regions of fundamental functional importance: the anti-codon, which is responsible for specific mRNA codon recognition, and the 3' end, to which the tRNAs corresponding amino acid is attached (by aminoacyl-tRNA synthetases). tRNAs cope with the degeneracy of the genetic code in two manners: having more than one tRNA (with a specific anti-codon) for a particular amino acid; and 'wobble' base-pairing, i.e. permitting non-standard base-pairing at the 3rd anti-codon position. Lineage: Eukaryota; Metazoa; Chordata; Mammalia; Carnivora; Felidae. RNAcentral also lists the same sequence under 2 other names. The record is from Rfam by way of RNAcentral.